Danio rerio (zebrafish) is the source of this 115-nucleotide ribosomal RNA. Lineage: Eukaryota; Metazoa; Chordata; Actinopteri; Cypriniformes; Danionidae. The record is from Ensembl.
UACCACAGCCAUAUCAUCCUGCAGCCCAAGCAGUUACUCACUGAAGCUAAGCAGGGCUGAGCUUGGCCAGUACCUGGAUGGGAGACCACAUGGGAAAACUAGGUUGCUGUUGGAA